This 498-nucleotide ribosomal RNA is filed under the name uncultured bacterium. RNAcentral's name for it is "partial 16S ribosomal RNA". It matches the Rfam family "Bacterial small subunit ribosomal RNA", at positions 28 to 507 of the family's 1533-position model. The record is from RNAcentral.
GACGAACGCUGGCGGCGUGCCUAAUACAUGCAAGUCGAACGAGAGCAACCGGUGCUUGCACUGGUCAAUCUAGUGGCGAACGGGUGAGUAACACGUGGGUAACCUGCCCAUCAGAGGGGGAUAACAUCCGGAAACGGAUGCUAAAACCGCAUAGGUCUUCGAACCGCAUGGUUUGAAGGGGAAAAGAGGCGCAAGCUUCUGCUGAUGGAUGGACCCGGGGUGCAUUAGCUAGUUGGUGAGGUAACGGCUCACCAAGGCGGUGAUGCAUAGCCGACCUGAGAGGGGGAUCGGCCACAUUGGGACUGGGACACGGCCCAAACUCCUACGGGAGGCAGCAGUAGGGAAUCUUCCGCAAUGGACGCAAGUCUGACGGAGCAACGCCGCGUGAGUGAAGAAGGUGUUCGGAUCGUAAAACUCUGUUGUUAGAGAAGAACAAGUGCUAGAGUAACUGUUAGCGCCUUGACGGUAGCUAACCAGAAAGCCACGGCUAACUACGUG